AUUGAACGCUGGCGGCAGGCCUAACACAUGCCAGUCGAACGGUAACAGGAAGAAGCUUGCUUCUUUGCUGACGAGUGGCGGACGGGUGAGUAAUGUCUGGGAAACUGCCUGAUGGAGGGGGAUAACUACUGGAAACGGUAGUUAAUACCGCAUAACGUCGCAAGACCAAAGAGGGGGACCUUCGGGCCUCUUGCCAUCGGAUGUGCCCAGAUGGGAUUAGCUAGUAGGUGGGGUAACGGCUCACCUAGGCGACGAUCCCUAGCUGGUCUGAGAGGAUGACAGGCCACACGGGACCUGAGACACGGUCCAGACUCCUACGGAAGGCGGAGGUGGGAAAUAUUGCACAAUGGGCGCAGCCUGAUGCAGCCAUGCCGCGUGUAUGAAGAAGGCCUUCGGGUUGUAAAGUACUUUCAGCGGGGAGGAAGGGAGUAAAGUUAAUACCUUUGCUCAUUGACGUUACCCGCAGAAGAAGCACCGGCUAACUCCGUG
Molecule: ribosomal RNA, 489 nt
Filed under: uncultured bacterium
Lineage: Bacteria
Description: partial 16S ribosomal RNA
Rfam family: Bacterial small subunit ribosomal RNA
Source: RNAcentral